AAACUUAAUAUUUACAACUUUCAACAACGGAUCUCUUGGUUCUGGCAUCGAUGAAGAACGCAGCGAAAUGCGAUAAGUAGUGUGAAUUGCAGAAUUCAGUGAAUCAUCGAAUCUUUGAACGCACAUUGCGCCCCUUGGUAUUCCAUGGGGCAUGCCUGUUCG
This 162-nucleotide ribosomal RNA is filed under the name ascomycete sp. MA 4926. RNAcentral describes it as "5.8S ribosomal RNA". It matches the Rfam family "5.8S ribosomal RNA". From Rfam's summary of the family: 5.8S ribosomal RNA (5.8S rRNA) is a component of the large subunit of the eukaryotic ribosome. It is transcribed by RNA polymerase I as part of the 45S precursor that also contains 18S and 28S rRNA. Functionally, it is thought that 5.8S rRNA may be involved in ribosome translocation. Lineage: Eukaryota; Fungi; Ascomycota. The record is from RNAcentral.